Long non-coding RNA from Orbicella faveolata, 422 nucleotides. The record is from RefSeq and is a predicted model, not a curated record. NCBI's taxonomy places the organism in Eukaryota, Metazoa, Cnidaria, Anthozoa, Scleractinia, Merulinidae.
GAGAUGGUUUGCACGAUUUUUACCUGGCAGACUGUGUAAUUUACAAUAUUUUCUCGUGGCAGCUAAUUUCAACGGCACUGCCCAGAAGAACAAAAUGUUCCCAGUCAUUCUCGGUAUCUUGUGGCUGUGUACACGGAUCUUUAUGUCAAGCCAAGCGAAUACCCAAGUUUGUGGCAAAGUAGUUGACAACACACUAAAAAGCCCUGGAUAUCCAAACGACUAUCCAAACAACACAGACUGUUUCUAUGUGAUUCCUAUUCCACGUGAUAUGGACAUGAACAUUACAUUUAAGGAUUUUUACAUAGAGGGUGGUCCGUCAUGCAGGUAAAUAACAGUCUUCAGAUUUCCUACUCCACAAAGUAGGUUAAGUCUGUAUACGAGCCAAAUGGCCCAUCAGGCCGGAGCUUAGAUUAGCUCAGCUA